GUAGGUGAACCUGCGGAAGGAUCAUUACAAAUCAAAGGGGGUUUUUAGCCGCCGUGAGGUGGCUAGAGACUGUCCCACACUAGCACGAGGCCGCAAGGCCUUGAUGUUUACGCUUGUAUGUUUGACAGAGUUUAUUUGUGACACUAAUAAUGACAACUUUUAACAAUGGAUCUCUUGGCUCUUGCAUCGAUGAAGAACGCAGCAUCUGACUGACUCGACAGCUG
This 224-nucleotide unclassified non-coding RNA is filed under the name plant metagenome. RNAcentral describes it as "partial contains small subunit ribosomal RNA, internal transcribed spacer 1, and 5.8S ribosomal RNA". The stretch from base 155 to 224 matches the Rfam family "5.8S ribosomal RNA", at positions 1 to 55 of the family's 154-position model. The record is from RNAcentral.